This 253-nucleotide ribosomal RNA is filed under the name uncultured bacterium. RNAcentral describes it as "partial 16S ribosomal RNA". It matches the Rfam family "Bacterial small subunit ribosomal RNA", at positions 524 to 776 of the family's 1533-position model. The record is from RNAcentral.
UACGUAGGGUCCGAGCGUUGUCCGGAAUUACUGGGCGUAAAGAGCUCGUAGGCGGUUUGUCGCGUCGUUCGUGAAAACUCACAGCUCAACUGUGGGCGUGCGGGCGAUACGGGCAGACUUGAGUACUGCAGGGGAGACUGGAAUUCCUGGUGUAGCGGUGGAAUGCGCAGAUAUCAGGAGGAACACCGGUGGCGAAGGCGGGUCUCUGGGCAGUAACUGACGCUGAGGAGCGAAAGCGUGGGGAGCGAACAGG